GUUUUAUAUACAUAUAACUCUAUUUAGGGGCUUCCUAACUCUGACCCUGUGGGUCUUUCUUUUCUGGUCUUUUCUACACAAGUAUAUGUGAGGGUUACCCCCCUUUUCUGGUUGCCCCAGACACACACCUUGGCAAGGCACCCCCUCUUAGGGGUUCCUUGCUUUUCUGUUUUUCUAAUGAUAUUUUAAUCCUCAUGAAAAAAGUAUGAUAG
Non-coding RNA from Pelobates cultripes (western spadefoot toad), 212 nucleotides. The record is from the annotation of a GenBank genome assembly. NCBI's taxonomy places the organism in Eukaryota, Metazoa, Chordata, Amphibia, Anura, Pelobatidae.